GCAGUAGCCGCUGGAAAACGGAGGGUGCAAGCGUUAAUCGGAAUUACUGGGCGUAAAGCGCACGCAGGCGGUCUGUCAAGUCAGAUGUGAAAUCCCCGGGCUUAACCUGGGAACUGCAUUUGAAACUGGCAGGCUAGAGUACGGCAGAGGGGGAUGGAAUUCCGCGUGUAGCAGUGAAAUGCGUAGAUAUGCGGAGGAACACCGAUGGCGAAGGCAAUCCCCUGGGCCUGUACUGACGCUCAUGCACGAAAGCGUGGGGAGCAAACAGGAUUAGAUACCCCCGUAGUCCCUGUCUCUUAUAC
RNAcentral lists this ribosomal RNA (302 nucleotides) under uncultured bacterium. RNAcentral describes it as "partial 16S ribosomal RNA". It matches the Rfam family "Bacterial small subunit ribosomal RNA", at positions 508 to 807 of the family's 1533-position model. The record is from RNAcentral.